GUGGUGGCUCACGCCUGUAAUGGGAGGCUGAGGCGGGCAGAUCACCUGAGGUUAGGAGUUCAAGACCAUCCUGGCCAACAUGGUGAAACCCUGUCUUUACAAAAAUACAAAAAUUAGCCACGUGUGGUAGUGGGCGCCUGUAAUCCCAGCUACUCAGGAGGCUGCGGCAGGAGAAUCACUUGAACCCAGGAAGCGGAGGUUGGAGUGAGCUGAGAUGGCGCCAUUGCACUGCAGCCUGGGCGACAGAGCGAGACUCCGUCUCAAAAAAAAAAAAGUGGAGAAUUUGAGACUUACUGAAAUUACCUAGGAAGAACAACAAACGACUUGAGAUCUUUGAAUGCCAUGGCCCUCGGGCAGUCAGCUGUCUUGCUACAGCUCAGGAAGGUGCCCGAAAACUGCUGGUCGUGGGGUCUUAUGACUGCACAAUUAGUGUACGCGAUGCCCGGAAUGGACUGCUCCUCAGAACUCUGGAGGGCCAUAGCAAAACCAUUCUUUGCAUGAAGGUGGUGAAUGAUCUCGUGUUCAGUGGCUCCAGUGAUCAGUCAGUCCAUGCCCACAACAUUCACACUGGUGAGCUCGUGCGGAUCUAUAAAGGUCACAAUCAUGCAGUGACUGUGGUGAAUAUCCUAGGAAA
RNAcentral lists this small RNA (634 nucleotides) under Pan troglodytes (chimpanzee). RNAcentral's name for it is "processed transcript". Lineage: Eukaryota; Metazoa; Chordata; Mammalia; Primates; Hominidae. The record is from RNAcentral.